This 411-nucleotide long non-coding RNA is filed under the name Homo sapiens (human). RNAcentral's name for it is "HSALNT0326149". Lineage: Eukaryota; Metazoa; Chordata; Mammalia; Primates; Hominidae. The record is from RNAcentral.
CAAGGUUUAUCUGGUUGCAUUCCAGGUCUCAUAUCAGGUUGCAAACAGGCUGCUCUUAGACCAGCUCAGUUUGUGUACUUUUUUUUUUAAGGUCAUGGAAGCUGAAGAUUGGAAAAGCAAAUAGAAGAAAAUAAAUUCUUCAGCUUGGAGAUAAGCAGGAAACCCAAAGAACAUGUUCUUAAGUAUAAGACCUCAGUAAUAAUAUUGAAUAGAAAUUCAACUAAAUGGAGCUGACAGAAGCCCAGACAGGCAACCAGGAGAUUCUUGUGGCCUGCCCCUGUUUCAUCUUCUGCCAUGAGUAAAAGCUCCCUGAGGCCUCCUGAAGCCGAGCAAAUGCUGACACUGUUUUCUGUACAGCCUGCAGAGCUAUGAGUCUUGCCCUGUCGCCCAGGCUGGAGUGCAACGGCGCAA